RNAcentral lists this transfer RNA (90 nucleotides) under Pseudoalteromonas nigrifaciens. RNAcentral's name for it is "tRNA-Ser(gga)". It matches the Rfam family "tRNA". From Rfam's summary of the family: Transfer RNA (tRNA) molecules are approximately 80 nucleotides in length. Their secondary structure includes four short double-helical elements and three loops (D, anti-codon, and T loops). RNAcentral also lists the same sequence under 15 other names. Lineage: Bacteria; Pseudomonadati; Pseudomonadota; Gammaproteobacteria; Alteromonadales; Pseudoalteromonadaceae. The record is from RNAcentral.
GGAGGGAUGGCUGAGUGGCUGAAGGCGCACGCCUGGAAAGUGUGUUUAGGUUAAUCCCUAACGAGGGUUCGAAUCCCUCUCCCUCCACCA